GCCCGCCCCGGUGACUCCCCGCCGCGCGGGGUUCCGCUGACGCCGGCCACCGCCGCUCCCCGCUCGUCCCCUCCUUUCGGGCUCCUUCCGCGAGGACGCGGCCUGCCUCUCUCCACCAGGGUAUCAGCCAGGGCCAGAAGACAGCAAGAUCAAAAUGGAAGCCAAUACAGCAAACAGAAGAAGAAUUCAGGAGCAUCUCUCCAGAAAUAAGAGACUUCUCAAAUUACAUUUAAAUGCGUCUGUCAUUAGGAAAGCCACAUAUAUACCAAAAAACUAAUGCAACGCAAUAAAACAGUGACUAAGCCAAACAAUAGAAACUACUGAAAUUUCACUGCAUGCUACAGAAUAACCACGCUCAGCUUUAGAACUACAGGAGGAACUGGCUGGUGGCUAAUGGAAGCAGGGCAGCCGGUUACGUGCUAUAAAAACACAAUUGCUGUGGUGAACGUGGAAAAAAGCAUUUGGAUGUUUCAAUAAAAUCCCCAAAUCCUGCAUUAAAACACACAUUGCUCCCUGACACCCUGAAAUAUUCAUGCUUAAGCAAACGGAAGACCUGUGAGGUGGAGAAUUAGAGCUGGCCAGAGGAUAUGGUACAAACAAGGUGAUUAAUGUUAUUUUAAAUUUUUGAAGAGCCAGUGAGGGAGAAAGGGGUGUGUGGAAGAGACUGUGGAACUAGGGAUCUAUUACAUAGUUGUUAGUUUUUAAAAUAAAAUUCUAUUCAAAUUCUAUGUUAAGAUUCAAUUAGUGGGGUGGAAAGAGGUCACAGUAAUAUGCCUGCAACAUUCCCUCAUUCUUCAAAAUAAUUCCUACACAUUUAUUUAACUUACCAGAAACAUAGCAGCUCUAGGUUAUUAAAAAAAAUUACAGGUGAAGACUGGUAACACCUACUAACUGAAUUAUCACCUUUUUAUCAGUUACAAAUAUUAAAAAACUUAAAAUCUGUUUCAAAUGGGAGGGAACCCUGGGUUCCCUAAAACUCAAUAGAGAAGCACAGGCUUAAAAACAAUAGUCACAUAAAAACCUUCCACGUACUUGUUAUUUUGUACAUCUGUCUCGAACAAGUGCUUGGAAAUGAAAAUAUAUUCCACACCAUCGCUUUCCUGGCUUCUUUUUGCUCUGGUCGUGUCUGCGAUUUAAUUAAAAAGAGUUUACAAAAGUCUACAUCAGCUACCCUAAAGAAGAUACUAAAAAAGAAAUCAUCAUGUAUUAAAGUAUUUUUCAUAAACCUAAUUUAAACACUUAUUAAAAAGCAAAUUAGCUAAUAAAAUAAAAAUUCAAUAAUUCAGAUUUCUUACCAAUAUGAAUACAAUAUUGAUUUGAAUGUGGAUUCAAAAUUAAAUUGCAUUGUCUGUGCUAUUUUUUAUUUCGA
Canis lupus familiaris (dog) is the source of this 1369-nucleotide long non-coding RNA. RefSeq lists it as uncharacterized. The record is from RefSeq and is a predicted model, not a curated record. The transcript has 4 exons. NCBI's taxonomy places the organism in Eukaryota, Metazoa, Chordata, Mammalia, Carnivora, Canidae.